RNAcentral lists this ribosomal RNA (650 nucleotides) under uncultured Tulasnellaceae. Its description in RNAcentral is "eukaryotic LSU rRNA". The stretch from base 192 to 355 matches the Rfam family "5.8S ribosomal RNA". The record is from RNAcentral. Lineage: Eukaryota; Fungi; Basidiomycota; Agaricomycetes; Cantharellales; Tulasnellaceae.
UGCGGAAGGAUCAUAGUAAACGUCUUUGACGCACUUCGUUCCGUCGUCCUCCGGACGUUAAGGCGCUCUGGUCGAGGAUAAACGACCCCUCUGACCGAGGCUAACCCGUCGCGCUUCCGUGUUACCGUCCGCGGCACACGUUAAAGAUCGUUCCGCGUUGUGAGUCUUGCUGGUUGUAAUAAACUGUUUACAACCGGUAGCGCUGGAUCCCUUGGCACGUCAUUCGAUGAAGACCGUUGCAAAUUGCGAUAAAGUGAUGUGAUGCGCAAGUCCACCACUUAUACGUGAAUCAUCGAGUUGUUGAACGCAUUGCACCGCGCCCUAAACCGGCUGCGGUAUGCCCCUUUGAGCGUCAUUACAUCCUUCGGGAGUCUCCUUUUCUGGAGACCCGAGUUCGGAGUCCUCGGUCCCUUGGGAUCGUGUUCUCUCAGAUGCAUCGCGCCGAUCGCUUUGAUGGGUMACUCUAAUGCCUGAGCGUGGAGUCCCUCUGAAGUCGAGACGCGUUUGACCGGGUGGUGAGCCCGUGUCGGCAAGUCCACGUCCGCUGCGACGUCGGUACUACAACCACAUGACCUCAUUGGGGUAGGACAACCCGCUAGACUUAAGCAUAUUAAUCAGCGGAGGAAAAGAAACUAACCAGGAUCCCUCAG